Molecule: ribosomal RNA, 441 nt
Filed under: uncultured bacterium
Lineage: Bacteria
Description: partial 16S ribosomal RNA
Rfam family: Bacterial small subunit ribosomal RNA
Source: RNAcentral
CCUACGGGUGGCAGCAGUGGGGAAUAUUGCACAAUGGGGGAAACCCUGAUGCAGCGACGCCGCGUGGGUGAAGAAGUAUUUCGGUAUGUAAAGCUCUAUCAGCAGGGAAGAAAAUAAACGGUACCUGACUAAAAGGCCCCGGCUAACUACGUGCCGGCAGCCGCGGUAAUAGGUAGGGGGCAGGCGUUAUCCGGUUUUACUGGGUGUAAAGGGAGCGUAGACGGCUGUGCAGGUCUGAAGUGAAAGCCCAGGGCCCAACCCCGGGACUGCUUUGGAAAGUGUGGUGCUGGAGUGCUGGAGAGGUAAGCGGAAUUCCUAGUGUAGCGGUGAAAUGCGUAGAUAUUAGGAGGAACACCAGUGGCGAAGGCGGCUUACUGGACAGUAACUGACGUUGAGGCUCGAAAGCGUGGGGAGCAAACAGGAUUAGAUACCCUUGUAGUC